This 548-nucleotide ribosomal RNA is filed under the name uncultured Glomus. RNAcentral describes it as "SSU rRNA". It matches the Rfam family "Eukaryotic small subunit ribosomal RNA", at positions 548 to 1098 of the family's 1831-position model. Lineage: Eukaryota; Fungi; Glomeromycota; Glomeromycetes; Glomerales; Glomeraceae. The record is from RNAcentral.
UUGGAGGGCAAGUCUGGUGCCAGCAGCCGCGGUAAUUCCAGCUCCAAUAGCGUAUAUUAAAGUUGUUGCAGUUAAAAAGCUCGUAGUUGAAUUUCGGGACCAAUUUGUUGGUCGUGCCUCGGUACGUACUGGUAUUAUUGGUUUCUCCCUUCUGAAGAACCUUGAUGUCAUUAAUUUGGUGUCUUGGGGAAUCAGGACUGUUACUUUGAAAAAAUUAGAGUGUUUAAAGCAGGCAUACGCUUGAAUACAUUAGCAUGGAAUAAUGAAAUAGGACGUUCGAUUCUAUUUUGUUGGUUUCUAGGAUCGACGUAAUGAUUAAUAGGGAUAGUUGGGGGCAUUAGUAUUCAAUUGUCAGAGGUGAAAUUCUUGGAUUUAUUGAAGGCUAACUACUGCGAAAGCAUUUGCCAAGGAUGUUUUCAUUAAUCAAGAACGAAAGUUAGGGGAUCGAAGACGAUCAGAUACCGUCGUAGUCUUAACCAUAAACUAUGCCGACUAGGGAUCGGAUGAUGUUAAUUUUUUAAUGACUCAUUCGGCACCUUACGGGAAAC